This is a non-coding RNA of Oryctolagus cuniculus (rabbit), 4161 nucleotides long. The record is from RefSeq and is a predicted model, not a curated record. NCBI's taxonomy places the organism in Eukaryota, Metazoa, Chordata, Mammalia, Lagomorpha, Leporidae.
GGCCUUCGCGGCCGUGUGAAGAUCUGCCAACGUUCGCAUCCGCGGCAUUUCCACUGCGAUUCCUCCAAAUCUCGUGUGUGGUUUCCUAAUCAGACGUAUAUUAUGACUUAAAAAUGGAUUUAGACCGUAGGGUGGACAGCCAGGCCCAGUGGGCUCUGCACACAUUUCCUCGCCUUCGCCCUGGCCUGUCUCAUGGAAGGCUGGGUCAUUUUAUAGAAAUGAUCUCCCCGAAUGGGAGCAGUGGGAAAAUGAGGGUACACUGACCGGUAACUGGACGUUUGGAAUGGAAAGUCCAGGAAACAGCCAUAGAAAGACUAACCAGUGUGCCGUUAGGGUGCAAGUCUCUUGGCUCUCCUCACCAGCCGUCCACACCCCCAGCCUGCCCCCCAGACUUCCCGCCCUCGCAAAGGAUUGUGGGCCAGCCCCCCACCGCCGCUGGGGGAAACGCUCGGCGUCCGGGCGCGUCACCCACCCGCCGACACCUUCCCGCGAGUCGGGCCUGGCGUUUGGGGGUUUCUGAGACCGUUAGAGCUUCACGGCCUGCCUAGUUCAAGAAGAUAGCUGGAAAAAAGAUAUACAACUGCCAUUGUCUGUUAUAUGACAGAGUUGACCUGUUGACCAGGAGUGUUGUAUCACAGAUGAUGAUAGCAUUUGAAGACCUGGCUGUGAUGUGAUGUGAUGCUGGAGACCUACAGCAGCCUGCUCUCCUUGGAUGCCUUGGAAAGGAAUGAUCUGAGUAAGAUCUACCAAAAAAGUCAGGACAAAAAUCUGAAUCAGGAUGUUAUGAAAAAUAAUAAAACAUCAACUCCCAAGAUGAUUAAAUUAAGGAAAAACUUAAUUUUAGUUCAAGCCAUAUUCCAACACUGAAUAUCAAAAAAAGAAACUAUUCAGGAAUUAAACCUGAAGAAUGCAAUAUAUGUCACAAUGUGUAUCCCAUUGUGGGCCUGAUCAACUACAAGCUGGAGUGAAAUUUGAUGCUACCAAGAUACCUGGGAAUGGUCUCCAAUUCUGUGAGCCUCUUAACCAACAGCACAAAAUUCAAACCGUGGAGCAGGUACUUGAACAAAUUGGACAAGGGAAAAUUUUCAAAAGGAAGAAUAUAUUUUGUGAAUCUGAGAAGCUUUUUAUUGUAGAAACUUAUAAUAAGUCAACUGCCACUAUUGGCAAGACAACUCAAGUAGUACAAGAUUUCCAUAAAAAUUCUAACCUCAGUAAGCAUCAACAAAGUCCUGGAAGAGAGAAAGUUUAUAAAUACAUCAAGCCUGUGGAAUCUGUCAUUUACCAAUCACAUGUUAGAAUGAAUCAUAGAUCAAAUAUAGGGAAGAAAUCCUAUUCCUGUAAAACUUGUGGGAAAUCAUUCAGUAAUAAAUUCUGCCAUAUCCUCCAUCACAGCACUCACGUAGUGGAAAACCCUCAUGUGUGUAUUGAAUGUGUAGAAAUCACUUACCAGAAGUCAGAUUUCAUUAGACAUCAGAGAAUUCACACAGGGUUGAAAUCUUAUAAAUGUAAUGACUGUGAGAAAGUCUUUGGCCAGAAGUCAAACCUCAUAAAUCAUCAGAGAAUACACGGGCGAGAAACCUUAUGAAUUUAAUGACUGUGGAAAAUCCUUUGGCCAGAAGUCAAACCUCAUAUAUCAUCAGAGAAUUCACAAAGGGGAGAAACCUUAUGAAUGUAAUCAUUGUGGAAACGCCUUUUGCCAUAAGUCAAACCUCACAAAGCAUCAGAGAAGUCACACAGGGGAGAAACGCAAUGACUGUGGAAAAGCCUUUGGCCAGAAGUCAAACCUCAUAACUCAUCAGAGAAUUCACACAGGGCAGAAAGAUUAUGAAGGUAAUGGCAAAGUCUUUAUGCAUAAGUCACAUCUUAUUCUACAUCAGAGAAUUCACACAGUAAAAACCUUAUGAAUGUAAUGACCGUGGAAAAACCUUUCUGUUGAAAAAUUAUCGUCAAACAUCAGAGAAUUCACACAGUAGAUAAAACCUAUGAAUACAAUGACUGUGGAAAAAAAUUAUGUGGAAGAAAGAUCUUAUCAGACAUCAGAAAAUUCACACAGGGGAGAAACCUUAUGAAUGUAGUGACUGUGCAAAAGCCUUUCUGCAUAAGUCACAUCUCAUUCAACAUCAGAGAAUUCAGACGGGGGAAAAACCUUAUGAAUGCAAUAACUAUGAAAAAGCCUUUGGCCAAAAGUCAACCCUCAUAAAUCAUCAGGGAACCCACACGGUGGAGAAAUCUUAUGAAUGUAAUGACUGUGGAAAAGCCUUUUUGCGCAAGUCAGAACUCAUCAGACAUCAGAGAAGUCACACAAAGGAGAAAUCCUAUGAAAGCAAUGACUGUGCAAAAGGGUUUGGUCACAAAUCAAGCCUCAUAAGUCAGAGAAUUCACACAGGGCAGAAAGUUUAUGAGUGUAAUGAGUGUGGAAAAGUCUUUUGGAGGCAGUCAGAUCUCAUCCCACAUCAGAAAAUUCACCCAGGAGAAAACCUUAUGAAUGUAAAAACUGUGGAAAAGCCUUUGGCAAGAAGUCAAACAUCAUAAUUCAUCAGAGAAUUAGCUCAGAGGAAUAACCGUAUGAAUGCAAUGACUGUGGAAAAGUCUUUGGCCAAAAUUCAAGCCUCAACUCCUCACAGAAUUCCCACAGGGGAGAAACCUUAUGAAUGCAACGACUGUGAAAAAUGUUUUGAAUAUAAGCUACACAUCAUUAGAUAACAACAUCAUGAAUGUAAUGAUGGUGGAAAGCCUGUUGCUAUAAUUCACAACUAAUAAAACAUCAGAGAAUUCACACCAGGAAUUUUCCACAACAUUGCCUUUUUGUGCAAGUUACAUCUCACCAAACAUUAAGUGUGGAUAUGCCUCUGGUACCAAUCAUACCUCAUCAAACAUAAAAGAAUUAACAUGCAAGAAAUCUUUUGAAUGUAAUGACUCAGAAAGACUUUUACCAUAAUUCAGUCCUCAUUGCACAUCUUCAAAUUCAUAUAGGGAAUAAACCCUUUGAAAGUAAUCAUGUGGAAAUGCCUUUAAUUAGAAGUCAUAACCCGUAAGACAUCAGAGAAUUCACAUUUGAGGGAAAUCUUAAAGAGUGUAAUGAGUGUUGGAAAGCUCUGCCAAAAUCUCAGUUACAACACCAGAGAAUUCACAAAGUGGAGAUCUCAUGAAUGAAAUAAAUGUGGGAAAGCUUUUUGUUAUAGAUCAUACUUAGAUCCAUAGGAAAAUAGAGAGAAGUGGACAGACCCACAGAGGCAGCUGUGUAAGGCUGGAGACCUAGUCCAGAGUUGUGUAUCUACAAGAGAAGGAACUAUUUCUACAGGUUUCUAGCAGACACCAGAAGUAGGAAGAGGAAGGAAGGACCCUCUCCUACAUCUUUCAGAGAAUACCUGGUCCUUUUGACACUUAGAAUGUGCCAAAUUACCAUUUGUGGAACUUUGUGAUAGCAGGGCCAGGGCACUAAAAAUAGACAUGAGACCAUAAUGUCACCUUCCUCCAACCUCCUGACCACAGCACAGCAGCCAGAACCUCUGUGUCCAAACAUUCCCUACAAGAAAACUGCCUGCCUUCAUUAACUUUCUGUCUUCACUGACAAGGCCUGGCCCCAGGAAAUCAUGCAUUAAGGGAAUAAAUCAAUGGAUUCCUUCCAGUGCUGUAUUCAGAUGUUCAUAAAAACCAAGGUACAUCUACACAUGGGAAGCACAGAGGGUGAUGGACAGGAGGAAAGAUGGCCCAUGUAGGGCAUUCCAGUGCUCACAGCCACACUGUGUGCUGGGGCAGCCAACUCAACUCCAAAUGCCCAGCCUCUGCGACUUGGCAGGUAAAGUCAUUUCUGUCACUCAGCUCCACCACUUACCAGUUCCAUGACCCUGGACUGCCUCUCUGAGCCUGUUGGAUCUUCCCUCCUGCUCAGUGAGAAUUUUACAUGACUGUGAGAUGAUAUCUUUCCAACCCGUGGGCUGACAUCACCUAUAGUUAUAGAGAUGGAAAGAUCACAAAAACAUAGGGACAACAUUUUUGUGGCCACAACUCAAAACAGUUCUAGGUUCACUGAUGGCCUUGUUUCCUAGUCUGUCCCAUGAGAUACAGCCAUUCCCUCACAUGCACUAUCUGAAUCUCUCUUGGGGAAGCAGGGUCUUUCAUGGGGACACAAACAUUAUGCAACCAUGCCGUUUUCCUAGG